CCUUUGGUGGUUGAAUGGUAGAAUACUCGUCUGCCACGCGGGCGGCCCGGUUCGAUUCCCGGCCGACGCA
Molecule: transfer RNA, 70 nt
Filed under: Ixodes scapularis (black-legged tick)
Lineage: Eukaryota; Metazoa; Arthropoda; Arachnida; Ixodida; Ixodidae
Rfam family: tRNA
About the family: Transfer RNA (tRNA) molecules are approximately 80 nucleotides in length. Their secondary structure includes four short double-helical elements and three loops (D, anti-codon, and T loops). Further hydrogen bonds mediate the characteristic L-shaped molecular structure. tRNAs have two regions of fundamental functional importance: the anti-codon, which is responsible for specific mRNA codon recognition, and the 3' end, to which the tRNAs corresponding amino acid is attached (by aminoacyl-tRNA synthetases). tRNAs cope with the degeneracy of the genetic code in two manners: having more than one tRNA (with a specific anti-codon) for a particular amino acid; and 'wobble' base-pairing, i.e. permitting non-standard base-pairing at the 3rd anti-codon position.
Source: Rfam by way of RNAcentral